Felis catus (domestic cat) is the source of this 2733-nucleotide long non-coding RNA. RefSeq lists it as uncharacterized. The record is from RefSeq and is a predicted model, not a curated record. The transcript has 6 exons. Lineage: Eukaryota; Metazoa; Chordata; Mammalia; Carnivora; Felidae.
AAGAAGACACAUGGAAAAGACAAACAACCAUGCGAAGACGGAGGCAGAGAUUGAAGUGAUCUAGGGACAAGCCAAGGAAUGCCAAAGAUUGCUGGCAAUCACAAGAAACUGGAAAAGACAAGGAAGGUUCCUUCCUCCCCUCGAGUCUUCAGAGCAAAAGCAUGGCUUUGAUUUCAGACUUCCAGCCUCCAGAACUGUACAGGCCAAUAUCCUACACUCCUCCAGCAGAAGUGCUCUGAAAGAAGAAAGUUGCUAAAGCCAGCACAAACGAAAGCUCAAUAUCUGAGGACAGAGAACAAAGGCAUCGAAGUGUGUGGAGCCAGUGUCCGUAACAACACCACUCUCGCUCUGAAGGUCACUCUUGGAUGCCACAUCUUUUCUGGGUCUCCAGGGACCGUGAGGGGCUGAUGGCCUGGCUGGACAGCCAAGAACUCCCCUGUUAUGGAAGAGAUGUCUGGCCCACUUCCCUGUACAGACUCCUGGCCACACAGCACUUAGACACCAGCAGCUGCUCCAGUUUUCCUGAGGCUCUAAGGAGACCUGUCUACCCAAUUUACGAGCUCUUCAAGCUGCAAAAGGCCUCCCCAGACAAGGCUCAAGAACAUAAAUAUCUCCAAAGAUAGGCAAUUCAAGCCCUCUCGGCCUCAGUUGCCAUCUUCCUGGAAACCUCUGCGCCAUGAGAGCCAAGUGGAGGAAGAAGCAAAAGCACAGGCUAAGGAGAAAAAAAGGAAAGAUGGGACACAGGUCCAAGUAAACCACUAGCUUAUGCACCCACGGAAGCCACAGGAGCAGAAAUAAGGAAAGCCAGAGGCCAGGGACACGGGACCUCAGAAGAAAAAAAGGAGCCUCAUGAAAGAAUGCUAAGGUUUCUUUGGGAAACCCAACAGACAAAACUCCAUACCGAGAGAUUAAGGAUUCUUAACCCAGGGUCCAGGAACAGGCUCAGGAAUCCAACAGGCCCUGACACCUGUUUCCUAAAUGAAUCAGUGAACGCAUGAACUAGUUUACAAGACCUGGGUAUCGUCUCCAGCCAUCAAAAAAGAGACUUAAAUUGCUUCCAACCCCAGCAGCAGGCAGCUGGACUCACUGGGGAAUCAGACCCUGGAAGAGGAAGCCUAAAUGCCUCUGAGGCCUCACAGCAAAAAGCCUGACCGAUGUUGAAAACAGAGGUGGUUCUGCAUAGUGGUAUACACUCGAGAGCUCUUAAGCCACUCCCAGGUCCUCAUCCCAGCUCCCCUCAUUUACCUGCUCUGUCACCUCAGGCACAUCCUUUACCCUCUCUGAACCUACUUCCGUAUCUGUGCUGAGACAAUGAGAAACAAAGACAAGAAAUUUUAAGAAAAAAAAUCAGGCACCAAUGACCCAAAUGCCGCCUCAAGAUUUUGUCUCAUGCCUGCAAAUGGAAUCAGGGAUGUUCUCCUAUGGCCCUAAAUACACAAAUGAGAGAUGUGACCUCCUGUUUGCUGGUCCUGAGGACUGCCACAAAAUCAAGCAUCCGGUCCCCACAGGAACGUGGAGCUACUACAACCACAGGGGUUAUCUCAUUAUUUCAGAAUCAUUUCCUAAUUCCUACCAAGCUGGGAGCUUCCAAAGAGCAGGCUGUGGGGUCUCAGACUUUUCCACACCUGAAUAUUACAUCAUCUGACAUGUUUGAGACUCACAACAGACUCCCCAGACAAAACUGAACCUCUAGGAGGUAAAGAAGCACUUCCCAAUAAAGACCCCAGCAGAAACAUUUGUUCCCCAUCAUAUGCCCAGUGUGAAACCCCCAGAAGUCACCGAGGAUGAAAGUCAAGGGAAGGAGGGAAGAAGGCUUUUUGCAGUGAGAAAAAAAAAAAAAAAAAAAAUAGGGAAUCUAAAAAUCCUGGCGAUUGCAAGAGAAAGAAACAGUGCAAACCCUAAAGGAGACAGACCGAUCGUAUUUUUCUAUCCUGUGAUGAGACAGAAACCAUGAAUGAGGCUCAGCAGACUUUGCAUCCAGGAAGCCCCUCAGCAGUAACAGCUCAGAGGCAGGGACAGAGGGAAGAUGGGUGUUCCUCCAGAUUGCUCCUGGGGGCUCACUGUCACAGCUAGAGGCAACUUCAGGCGGGCACCUAUGAGUCAAGAUUCAAGGACUGAGCCAUUUGGGGGGUGAUGUCCCUUUAAAUAAAGGAAGUAAGGCAGGGCUCCGCAGCUGUGGCUAUAAACGCUCUCUCCCAGCCUCUGUCAGAACCACCCACUGCUCUGGCAAGCUUGUGUCUCCAGCCCUGGUCACCCCUCCCGCUGGCUCAAAGCUGGCCUCAGAUUUUGAGGACUGGCUGCACCUCGCGGGCCUGCUCCCAUAUAGACAAAAACCAACCCCUAGGUGCAGCAGAGGGGUGAGGAUAGGGGGAUCAGCUGGUGGCCACAGAGAAAUAAAACAACCAGGAUUAUUUGCUCCGUGGGGGUCCUGUCUCAGCAACCAUGACUGGACUGGAUUCUCCUCACACCUAAACGGUCACCAGCGAGACCUGGAGGCCACCAGUGGGACUCUUUGGGGGGGGGGGUGUCACAAUUUCAUUUUCUUGGACCCUGUAUUCCAAAUGGAAGGUCAACAAGGAUGGCUUCCCCUUCCUAAGGGGUCUCUAGGAAUCUAUCCGACACUUUGGUUCAAAAGAAUUCCAGAAACCCAGGGACUCUCAGGGGCCACACUGAAAAAAUUCUUCCUGCCCAGCUGAGCAGUGGAGGCGGCCAGUCCGCAUUUCACUCACCAAU